UGAGGAAUAUUGCACAAUGGGCGCAAGCCUGAUGCAGCAACGCCGCGUGCGGGACGAAGGCCUUCGGGUCGUAAACCGCUUUUCUGGGGAAAGAGCAAGGACGGUACCUCAGGAAUAAGUCUCGGCUAACUCCGUGCCAGCAGCCGCGGUAAAACGUAGGAGGCGAGCGUUAUCCGGAUUUACUGGGCGUAAAGCGCACGCAGGCGGCUCUGUGAGUCGGACGUGAAAGCUCCCGGCUUAACCGGGAGAGGCCGUUCGAUACUGCGGCGCUUGAGGUAGGGAGAGGAAUGCGGAAUUCCCGGUGUAGUGGUGGAAUGCGUAGAUAUCGGGAGGAACACCCGUGGCGAAAGCGGCAUUCUGGCACUCACCUGACGCUGAGGUGCGAAAGCGUGGGUAGCAAACAG
RNAcentral lists this ribosomal RNA (404 nucleotides) under uncultured bacterium. RNAcentral describes it as "bacterial SSU rRNA". It matches the Rfam family "Bacterial small subunit ribosomal RNA", at positions 355 to 775 of the family's 1533-position model. The record is from RNAcentral.